GACGAACCGUGCGAACGUUAUUCGGAAUCACUGGGCUUAAAGCGCGUGUAGGCGGGCCGGCACGUCUUCGCUGAAAUCCCCCGGCUCAACCGGGGAAGGGGCGAGGAUACGACCGGCCUGGAGGGGGUAGGGAAUCGGGAACUUCCGGUGGAGCGGUGAAAUGCGUUGAGAUCGGAAGGAACGCCCGUGGCGAAAGCGCGGUUCUGGACCCCACCUGACGCUGAGACGCGAAAGCCAGGGAGACGG
Molecule: ribosomal RNA, 246 nt
Filed under: uncultured bacterium
Lineage: Bacteria
Description: partial 16S ribosomal RNA
Rfam family: Bacterial small subunit ribosomal RNA
Source: RNAcentral